GGCGAACGCUGGCGGCGUGCCUAAUACAUGCAAGUCGAGCGAACGGACGAGAAGCUUGCUUCUCUGAUGUUAGCGGCGGACGGGUGAGUAACACGUGGAUAACCUACCUAUAAGACUGGGAUAACUUCGGGAAACCGGAGCUAAUACCGGAUAAUAUUUUGAACCGCAUGGUUCAAAAGUGAAAGACGGUCUUGCUGUCACUUAUAGAUGGAUCCGCGCUGCAUUAGCUAGUUGGUAAGGUAACGGCUUACCAAGGCAACGAUGCAUAGCCGACCUGAGAGGGUGAUCGGCCACACUGGAACUGAGACACGGUCCAGACUCCUACGGGAGGCAGCAGUAGGGAAUCUUCCGCAAUGGGCGAAAGCCUGACGGAGCAACGCCGCGUGAGUGAUGAAGGUCUUCGGAUCGUAAAACUCUGUUAUUAGGGAAGAACAUAUGUGUAAGUAACUGUGCACAUCUUGACGGUACCUAAUCAGAAAGCCACGGCUAACUACGUG
RNAcentral lists this ribosomal RNA (497 nucleotides) under uncultured bacterium. RNAcentral describes it as "partial 16S ribosomal RNA". It matches the Rfam family "Bacterial small subunit ribosomal RNA", at positions 28 to 507 of the family's 1533-position model. The record is from RNAcentral.